RNAcentral lists this ribosomal RNA (513 nucleotides) under uncultured bacterium. RNAcentral's name for it is "partial 16S ribosomal RNA". It matches the Rfam family "Bacterial small subunit ribosomal RNA", at positions 28 to 523 of the family's 1533-position model. The record is from RNAcentral.
GAUGAACGCUGGCGGCGUGCCUAAUACAUGCAGGUCGAACGCACAGCGAAAGGUGCUUGCACCUUUCAAGUGAGUGGCGAACGGGUGAGUAACACGUGGACAACCUGCCUCAAGGCUGGGGAUAACAUUUGGAAACAGAUGCUAAUACCGAAUAAAACUCAGUGUCGCAUGACACAAAGUUAAAAGGCGCUUUGGCGUCACCUAGAGAUGGAACCGCGGUGCAUUAGUUAGUUGGUGGGGUAAAGGCCUACCAAGACAAUGAUGCAUAGCCGAGUUGAGAGACUGAUCGGCCACAUUGGGACUGAGACACGGCCCAAACUCCUACGGGAGGCUGCAGUAGGGAAUCUUCCACAAUGGGCGAAAGCCUGAUGGAGCAACGCCGCGUGUGUGAUGAAGGCUUUCGGGUCGUAAAGCACUGUUGUAUGGGAAGAACAGCUAGAAUAGGGAAUGAUUUUAGUUUGACGGUACCAUACCAGAAAGGGACGGCUAAAUACGUGCCAGCCGCCGCAGUAA